UACGUAGGGGGCAAGCGUUGUCCGGAAUCAUUGGGCGUAAAGAGCGUGUAGGCGGCCCGGUAAGUCCGCUGUGAAAGUCCAGGGCUCAACCCUGGGAUGCCGGUGGAUACUGUCGGGCUCGAAUCCGGAAGAGGAGUGUGGAAUUCCUGGUGUAGCGGUGAAAUGCGCAGAUAUCAGGAGGAACACCAAUGGCGAAGGCAGCACUCUGGGACGUGACUGACGCUGAGACGCGAAAGCGUGGGGAGCGAUCCGG
Molecule: ribosomal RNA, 253 nt
Filed under: uncultured bacterium
Lineage: Bacteria
Description: partial 16S ribosomal RNA
Rfam family: Bacterial small subunit ribosomal RNA
Source: RNAcentral